RNAcentral lists this ribosomal RNA (278 nucleotides) under Ralstonia sp. LM0805. RNAcentral describes it as "partial 16S ribosomal RNA". It matches the Rfam family "Bacterial small subunit ribosomal RNA", at positions 162 to 442 of the family's 1533-position model. Lineage: Bacteria; Pseudomonadati; Pseudomonadota; Betaproteobacteria; Burkholderiales; Burkholderiaceae. The record is from RNAcentral.
GCUAAUACCGCAUACGACCUGAGGGUGAAAGUGGGGGACCGCAAGGCCUCAUGCUAUAGGAGCGGCCGAUGUCUGAUUAGCUAGUUGGUGGGGUAAAGGCCCACCAAGGCGACGAUCAGUAGCUGGUCUGAGAGGACGAUCAGCCACACUGGGACUGAGACACGGCCCAGACUCCUACGGGAGGCAGCAGUGGGGAAUUUUGGACAAUGGGCGAAAGCCUGAUCCAGCAAUGCCGCGUGUGUGAAGAAGGCCUUCGGGUUGUAAAGCACUUUUGUCCG